UCUGUCUCUUUCUCUCUCAGUUCGCGUUCAUUUGAGAGAGAGAAAAAUGCACAAGGCCACAAGCACGCGAAGACAAACUCGGAGAGUCGGAAGUGACGAGUCUAGCAAAUCGCGACCUCCUCGCCGCCGCGGGGACCGGCGUAUUAUGUGCAGAGUCCGUCACGGGACUCGCACGACGACGAGAAGACAGUGACGAUGGCGUCAUUCCACUCAAUGUCGGUGCUGAGCCAGGCGAGAUUGCAGCCGCACUCUCACUACUACUCCACCGUCGGCCGCCACUCCCGCGAGUC
This 290-nucleotide long non-coding RNA is filed under the name Actinidia chinensis (golden kiwifruit). RNAcentral's name for it is "long non-coding RNA (ACHI_LNC006838)". The record is from RNAcentral. Lineage: Eukaryota; Viridiplantae; Streptophyta; Magnoliopsida; Ericales; Actinidiaceae.